CUAUGCGCCUUGCCAGCCCGCUCAGGUGUGCCAGCAGCCGCGGUAAUACGUAGGUGGCAAGCGUUAUCCGGAUUUAUUGGGCGUAAAGGGAACGCAGGCGGUCUUUUAAGUCUGAUGUGAAAGCCUUCGGCUUAACCGGAGUAGUGCAUUGGAAACUGGGAGACUUGAGUGCAGAAGAGGAGAGUGGAACUCCAUGUGUAGCGGUGAAAUGCGUAGAUAUAUGGAAGAACACCAGUGGCGAAAGCGGCUCUCUGGUCUGUAACUGACGCUGAGGUUCGAAAGCGUGGUAGCAAACAGG
This 298-nucleotide ribosomal RNA is filed under the name uncultured bacterium. RNAcentral describes it as "partial 16S ribosomal RNA". It matches the Rfam family "Bacterial small subunit ribosomal RNA", at positions 475 to 776 of the family's 1533-position model. The record is from RNAcentral.